Long non-coding RNA from Venturia canescens, 445 nucleotides. RefSeq lists it as uncharacterized. The record is from RefSeq and is a predicted model, not a curated record. The transcript is spliced from 2 exons. NCBI's taxonomy places the organism in Eukaryota, Metazoa, Arthropoda, Insecta, Hymenoptera, Ichneumonidae.
AAAUGAUAACCAACGCUGCAAACGCACUGUUUGUCAGUGCACGAUGUAUUUCCCAUGGUUUUUUGACACUGUUGAUCCUCCUGACAGUCGGAGCCUAGUGCAGUAGCGACUGUGGAGCAUCGAAGAAAAAAAAGUUUUUCGAAUUCUUGUCACGAGCUCUCGUCAAUUGUUUUGACAACUUUUUCAAAAAUUCUCGAAUCCCCGAAUCCCGAAAAUGAAUUUACGACAAUCUGAGGAAAAAAUGGGAAAUUCUUUACCAGGAAGACACUCGCGGAUUUGGCUGGCCAUGACGUAUCCCUCGAUGCAGCCGCAUUGUUUUCUGGUCGUGUUGCAAUACUCGUAGGGAAGAUUGCAAUCUUUUGCAAUCGAGCACGAUUGUACGUCGGCCGCCGAGUUCCGACCUUUCCAUUCCCGAAGCGUAAAUAAAAAUCAAAUAUUAAAAUGA